Molecule: ribosomal RNA, 467 nt
Filed under: uncultured bacterium
Lineage: Bacteria
Description: partial 16S ribosomal RNA
Rfam family: Bacterial small subunit ribosomal RNA
Source: RNAcentral
ACGAACGCUGGCGGCGUGCUUAACCCCUGCCCGUCGAACGGAAAGGCCCUGCUUUUGUGGGGUGCUCGAGUGGCGAACGGGCGAGUAACACGUGAGUAACCUGCCCUUGACUUUGGGAUAACUUCAGGAAACUGGGGCUAAUACCGGAUAGGAGCUCCUGCUGCAUGGUGGGGGUUGGAAAGUUUCGGCGGUUGGGGAUGGACUCGCGGCUUAUCAGCUUGUUGGUGGGGUAGUGGCUUACCAAGGCUUUGACGGGUAGCCGGCCUGAGAGGGUGACCGGCCACAUUGGGACUGAGAUACGGCCCAGACUCCUACGGGAGGCAGCAGUGGGGAAUAUUGCACAAUGGGCGGAAGCCUGAUGCAGCAACGCCGCGUGCGGGAUGACGGCCUUCGGGUUGUAAACCGCUUUCGCCUGUGACGAAGCGUGAGUGACGGUAAUGGGUAAAGAAGCACCGGCUAACUACGUG